Molecule: ribosomal RNA, 253 nt
Filed under: uncultured bacterium
Lineage: Bacteria
Description: partial 16S ribosomal RNA
Rfam family: Bacterial small subunit ribosomal RNA
Source: RNAcentral
GACAGUGGGUGCAAACGUUGCUCGGAAUCACUGGGCGUAAAGGGCGCGUAGGCGGGGAUGUAAGUCGGGCGUGAAAUCCCCAGGCUCAACCUGGGAACUGCACUCGAAACUGCGUUUCUUGAGUAUCGGAGAGGAAAGCGGAAUUCCUGGUGUAGAGGUGAAAUUCGUAGAUAUCAGGAGGAACACCAGUGGCGAAGGCGGCUUUCUGGACGGUAACUGACGCUGAGGCGCGAAAGCGUGGGGAGCAAACAGG